RNAcentral lists this ribosomal RNA (253 nucleotides) under uncultured bacterium. RNAcentral describes it as "partial 16S ribosomal RNA". It matches the Rfam family "Bacterial small subunit ribosomal RNA", at positions 524 to 776 of the family's 1533-position model. The record is from RNAcentral.
UACAGAGGUCCCAAGCGUUGUUCGGAUUUACUGGGCGUAAAGGGUGCGUAGGCGGUGAGGAUAGUUUAAGGUGAAAUCUCCAGGCUCAACUUGGAAAAUGCCUCGAAUACUUCCUCGCUAGAGGGUCGCAGAGGAGAUUGGAAUUCUCGGUGUAGCAGUGAAAUGCGUAGAUAUCGAGAGGAACAUCAGUGGCGAAAGCGAAUCUCUGGGCGACUCCUGACGCUGAGGCACGAAAGCCAGGGGAGCAAACGGG